RNAcentral lists this ribosomal RNA (428 nucleotides) under uncultured bacterium. RNAcentral describes it as "bacterial SSU rRNA". It matches the Rfam family "Bacterial small subunit ribosomal RNA", at positions 355 to 774 of the family's 1533-position model. The record is from RNAcentral.
UGGGGAAUAUUGGGCAAUGGGCGAGAGCCUGACCCAGCGACGCCGCGUGAGGGAAGAAGGUCCUCGGAUCGUAAACCUCUGUCAGGAGGGAAGAAGUUAUAUGCGCUUAACAGGUGCAUAUAUUGACGGUACCUCCAGAGGAAGCGCCGGCCAACUCCGUGCCAGCAGCCGCGGUAAUACGGAGGGCGCAAGCGUUAUUCGGAAUCACUGGGCGUAAAGCGCGCGUAGGCGGCCAUGCAAGUCAGGUGUGAAAGCCCUCGGCUUAACCGGGGAAUUGCACUUGAAACUGUGUGGCUAGAGUUCGGGAGAGGGUGGCGGAAUUCCAGGUGUAGGAGUGAAAUCCGUAGAUAUCUGGAGGAACACCAGAGGCGAAGGCGGCCACCUGGACCGAAACUGACGCUGAGGCGCGAAAGCGUGGGUAGCAAACA